GCCCGGCUAGCUCAAUCGGUAGAGCGUGAGACUCUUAAUCUCAAGGUUGUGGGUUCGACCCCCACGUUGGGCU
This 73-nucleotide transfer RNA is filed under the name Chaetomium globosum CBS 148.51. RNAcentral describes it as "tRNA-Lys (CTT) (tRNA-Lys-CTT-1-1)". It matches the Rfam family "tRNA". From Rfam's summary of the family: Transfer RNA (tRNA) molecules are approximately 80 nucleotides in length. Their secondary structure includes four short double-helical elements and three loops (D, anti-codon, and T loops). Further hydrogen bonds mediate the characteristic L-shaped molecular structure. tRNAs have two regions of fundamental functional importance: the anti-codon, which is responsible for specific mRNA codon recognition, and the 3' end, to which the tRNAs corresponding amino acid is attached (by aminoacyl-tRNA synthetases). tRNAs cope with the degeneracy of the genetic code in two manners: having more than one tRNA (with a specific anti-codon) for a particular amino acid; and 'wobble' base-pairing, i.e. permitting non-standard base-pairing at the 3rd anti-codon position. Lineage: Eukaryota; Fungi; Ascomycota; Sordariomycetes; Sordariales; Chaetomiaceae. The record is from RNAcentral. RNAcentral also lists the same sequence under 2 other names.